UACGUAGGGUGCGAGCGUUAAUCGGAAUUACUGGGCGUAAAGCGUGCGCAGGCGGCGCGUUAAGUCAGGUGUGAAAGCCCCGAGCUUAACUUGGGAAUUGCGCUUGUGACUGGCGAGCUGGAGUGUGGCAGAGGGAGGUGGAAUUCCACGUGUAGCAGUGAAAUGCGUAGAUAUGUGGAGGAACACCGAUGGCGAAGGCAGCCCCCUGGGUUAACACUGACGCUCAUGCACGAAAGCGUGGGGAGCAAACAGG
This 253-nucleotide ribosomal RNA is filed under the name uncultured bacterium. RNAcentral's name for it is "partial 16S ribosomal RNA". It matches the Rfam family "Bacterial small subunit ribosomal RNA", at positions 524 to 776 of the family's 1533-position model. The record is from RNAcentral.